AGAAGGUCCCAAGGGUUUGGCUGUUCGCCAAUUAAAGCGGUACGUGAGCUGGGUUCAAAACGUCGUGAGACAGUUUGGUCCAUAUCCACUGCGGGCGCAGGAAAUUUGAGGAGAGCAUUCCCUAGUACGAGAGGACUUGGAAUGACGUACCUAUGGUGUGCCAGUUGUUCCGCCUAGGAGCAUUGCUGGGUAGCUAUGUACGGAAAGGAUAAGCGCUGAAAGCAUCUAAGUGCCAAGCCCCCUCCAAGAUAAGAUUUCCCUUCCCAGGUUCGCCUGGGACUGAAGGCAGGUUGAAGAUUACAACCUUGAUAGGCUGGGUGUGUAAGUCCGGAGACGGACUGAGCUUACCAGUACUAAUCAGCCGUGCGUCUUGACCAUUCCUUUUC
RNAcentral lists this ribosomal RNA (386 nucleotides) under Lentisphaerota bacterium. RNAcentral describes it as "Lentisphaerae bacterium (anaerobic digester metagenome) partial 23S ribosomal RNA". It matches the Rfam family "Bacterial large subunit ribosomal RNA", at positions 2557 to 2925 of the family's 2925-position model. Lineage: Bacteria; Pseudomonadati; Lentisphaerota. The record is from RNAcentral.